RNAcentral lists this ribosomal RNA (327 nucleotides) under uncultured bacterium. Its description in RNAcentral is "bacterial SSU rRNA". It matches the Rfam family "Bacterial small subunit ribosomal RNA", at positions 335 to 652 of the family's 1533-position model. The record is from RNAcentral.
ACUCCUACGGGAGGCAGCAGUGGGGAAUAAUUGGACAAUGGGCGCAAGCCUGAUCCAGCCAUGCCGCGUGGGUGAAGAAGGCCUUCGGGUUGUAAAGCCCUUUUGUUGGGAAAGAAAAGCAGUCGGUUAAUACCCGAUUGUUCUGACGGUACCCAAAGAAUAAGCACCGGCUAACUUCGUGCCAGCAGCCGCGGUAAUACGAAGGGUGCAAGCGUUACUCGGAAUUACUGGGCGUAAAGCGUGCGUAGGUGGUGGUUUAAAGUCUGUUGUGAAAGCCCUGGGCUCAACCUGGGAAUUGCAGUGGAUACUGGGUCACUAGAGUGUGGU